GCAGACUGUCAUAGAGUGGUCCCAGGUGCGCUUCCUCAGGGAGAUCAUCGAGGCCAUGUUGAAAGCCUAUCAGCAGAAGCUCUUUGUGACUCACACAGUUGACGAAUUGCUCUGGGGCUACAAAGAUGAAAUCUUGUCCCUUAUCCAUGUUUUCAGGCCCGAUAUCUCUCCCUAUUUUGGCCUAUUCUAUGAGAAAAAUGGGACUAAUGAUGGAGACUAUGUUUUUCUAACUGGAGAAGACAGUUACCUUAACUUUACAAAAAUUGUGGAAUGGAAUGGGAAAACGUCACUUGACUGGUGGAUAACAGACAAGUGCAAUAUGAUUAAUGGAACAGAUGGAGAUUCUUUUCACCCACUAAUAACCAAAGAUGAGGUCCUUUAUGUCUUCCCAUCUGACUUUUGCAGGUCAGUGUAUAUUACUUUCAGUGACUAUGAGAGUGUACAGGGACUGCCUGCCUUUCGGUAUAAAGUUCCUGCAGAAAUAUUAGCCAAUACGUCAGACAAUGCCGGCUUUUGUAUACCUGAGGGAAACUGCCUGGGCUCAGGAGUUCUGAAUGUCAGCAUCUGCAAGAAUGGUAAGAACUCAGAGAGGGGACAUGAUAGGGGUGUCAAGAAUGCAGAAGGAUUGGAGUUCAACAAAGAAUAUGUAGCUGGGCAUAGUGGCGCACACCUACAGUCCCAGCUACUAAGGAUGCUGAGGUGGGAUGAUCACUUGAGCCCAGGAGUUCUCAAGUCCAUCCUGGGCAACAUGGCGAGACCACUGUCUCUAAAAAACAAAACAAACAAAAAAGAAUAUAUUGUCAGCCCAAUAGAAAGAUCAGUUUCUUUCAAGAACAAUGUUUCAUAACAUGGCUAUUGAAUGGUAAAAAAAAAUCAUGGCUUUUCUGUGAUGCUUUUUAUUUCUAGAAUGCCAUGUUGUGUUUUUUUUUCUGGACAGUGGUUUAGAAGUCUUAACAGUAAUAAUAGCUCAUGUUUACUAAGCACCUGAUGUAUGCCAGUCACUGUCCUAAGUGCUUUACAUAUUUACAUGUAGUUAAUGCAUGCAAAACAUUAACUGAUUUCAUGUUCAAAACAAUGCUAAGGCUGGGCACGGUGGCUCAUGCUUGUAUUCCCAGCACUUUGAGAGGCCGAGAUGUGAGGAUUGCUUGAGGCCAGGGGUUCAAGAUCAGCCUGGGCAACAUAGCAAGACCCUGUCUCUACAAAAAAAAAAAAAAAUUAAAAAAUUAGCUGGGUGUGGCGGCACACACCUGUAGUUACAGCUGCUCAGGAGGCUGAGGCAGAGAGAUUGCUUGAACCCAGGAGUUCAAGGUUGCAGUGUGCUAUGAUUGUGCUACUGCACUCCAGCCUGGGCAAUAGAGUGAUUCCGCACCUCCCCACCAAAAAAAAAAAAAAAGCUAAAAGAAAAAGUGGACAACUCAGUUUUAAGAAAGUACGUAUCAUGGCAAAGAUUCUCAGUGAUUUUGAAGCAGAGUUAGUUUUAAACCCUGACACAAAUGUCCCAGUGUUUCUUAAUGUCAGAGCUACUCUGCUCCUUUCCAUGAAUGAGGCAGAAUUAUCAGUGGCACAACUGACAAAACUAUUUUCUUCAUCUUGAAGAGUAGUUUUAACAGCCACAUGUUGCAGAAUUAUUCACAAUGAACUUACUAGAUAGUAGACAUUCAGCGGCCUGUUUUUAUAAUUGGGGAAACUAGGGCGCAGAGAGGGAACGUGAUUUUGAUGCGACUCCUCCCUCUGAGCAGAUCCCUGGCGGAACUCAGGGUCUUCUCAUAUUUGCCCUGUGAUUCCCUCUUGGGCUGUAAUUCCUCUUUAAAAUUUCUCUGGAGAGCUCUCUGUGUAGUCCCUUUCUCCUGAAUAAAGUAAUGUGCUCACUUUUGCUCCCUUAUCUAACUCAUUUUAAAAUCUCCUUUCAGGCCUGGCAUGGUGGCGUGUGCCUGUAGACCCAGCUACUCAGGAGGCUAUGGUGGAAGGGUCAUUUGAGCCCAGUUUGAUUCUAGCC
Molecule: small RNA, 1996 nt
Filed under: Pan troglodytes (chimpanzee)
Lineage: Eukaryota; Metazoa; Chordata; Mammalia; Primates; Hominidae
Description: retained intron
Source: RNAcentral